RNAcentral lists this ribosomal RNA (395 nucleotides) under uncultured bacterium. RNAcentral describes it as "bacterial SSU rRNA". It matches the Rfam family "Bacterial small subunit ribosomal RNA", at positions 30 to 429 of the family's 1533-position model. The record is from RNAcentral.
AUUGAACGCUGGCGGCAUGCCUUACACAUGCAAGUCGAACGGCAGCGGACCUUCGGGUGCCGGCGAGUGGCGAACGGGUGAGUAAUAUAUCGGAACGUACCUUUCAGUGGGGGAUAACGUAGCGAAAGUUACGCUAAUACCGCAUAUUCUGUGAGCAGGAAAGCAGGGGAUCGCAAGACCUUGCGCUGAUUGAGCGGCCGAUAUCAGAUUAGCUAGUUGGUGAGGUAAAGGCUCACCAAGGCGACGAUCUGCAGCGGGUCUGAGAGGAUGAUCCGCCACACUGGAACUGAGACACGGUCCAGACUCCUACGGGAGGCAGCAGUGGGGAAUUUUGGACAAUGGGCGCAAGCCUGAUCCAGCCAUGCCGCGUGAGUGAAGAAGGCCUCGGUUGUAAG